Mercenaria mercenaria is the source of this 1603-nucleotide long non-coding RNA. RefSeq lists it as uncharacterized. The record is from RefSeq and is a predicted model, not a curated record. NCBI's taxonomy places the organism in Eukaryota, Metazoa, Mollusca, Bivalvia, Venerida, Veneridae. The transcript has 2 exons.
GAAGAUAACGAAAACACUUUAUACAAAACGUAUCUUUCUUAAGAAACGGAUAUGUAUCGGUCAAAUAUAUUCGUGCGUAUUAGCCAAAAUACGUUUUUCGUGCUGUUUAGUGUUAACAAAAAUAAACAUCAUCUUGAGAAUGUCAUCAACAACAUGCGAAUUUACGUUGUUCGUGAAAACUAUUUCCGAAACCACUCCGGACAAAGAGGUAUAAAAUAUUUGCUUAUAUACCGAGCUUGAAUACUCUUGCAUGCAAAGUAUGAUAUUAAACAAAACGCUCUAGGAGAUAUCAUAAACCAUUAUCGCAGGCGAACUUGACCACGUCUUUAUGUAAUUAUACAACGCCAGGAAAACCCAUUUCGAAAGGAUCCAAAGUAAAACAUUACAAUGAGAAAUUUAGCAACCAGGUGUUUUUUUCUCGCGUUUCUAACGAUACUGAUCGUUAGCAACAUCUCAGAGGUUAGUUGCCAGUUGUGCGAGUUAAAACCAGGUGGACGUUGCGUUGACACGUAUGUUAAGCGAGGAGGAAGAUGGCGUGCGCGUUGUGCUGGAAGGGGAGCCAGAGCAUGCAGAAUGGUUGGUAGUGGUUCUUGUCGAUGUGCUUCGACUCGACCCAUGGGACAACCUCGUCAUCGAUAGGAUGAAUGAAUGUGUGUGCGUACUAAACAUUUAAUGUUAAAUAUGUGUUCGAACUCAAAACAUAAAAGGAUUAGUCAUUUAUAUAACUAAUUGUAUCCGGAAACCUGUUAAUUGCCUAUUUUAGUGUAACAGUCUUUCGCGAGAUGAGCGACCAGUGAUGGGUACUGUAAAAACCAAAAACAUUCGGCGAAAUAACAUUUUGGUCACUUUUGCAUGAAUACGCAUUUAACCUUAGGUAAAACUAAAUGUCCUAGUUUUGGUUGCCAUACCGUACGGAACUGGAUUCAAAGCAACUUUUUAAAGUGCAAUGAAAGCGUUCAUGCUGGGAAAGUGAAAAGUGACCUGGUUUUGCAAAAACGUGAAGAUUUUGAGAUGCUGCUUAGAUUUUAAGUCUUGUUAUUUGCUGUUACAGAAAACAUUCAUUUCAGAUUGUUGUAGAAAACACAACAGUGUUAUCGUUCUUAAUUGACUAAAUUCAAGACAUGCCAUUUUUAGGAUUUAGGAAAUUAACGGGCAUUAUUUCAUUCAUUGACCUUAGCACUCACAUUGCCAUGAGGGGAUUGAACUGAAAGAAUGGAUUAUUUAUUACUUAUCUCGUCUGUUUAAGUUUAAAUAAUUUUGGUGGGCCACAUACCUACACAUGCUCUUUGACAAAACCAACGGUAUUCCACAGAGCAACUGUGUGUCCUUCGAUCUUACAUGUAAAAGCUUUGUCCGUUAAAGAUUGUUUAUCUGAGCUUGGUCAAGUGGAUUUGUACGCAGAUAACUCCUGAUUAUACUCACUGAGGGCUGGAAACAAGAGUUUUGCCUAAGAAAUGAUAAAAAGACAGUUGUAUCAUAUUUGUUAAAUGUAACCAUAUACAAUGAUAUAUUUAGUUGAUAUUGUUCAGAAAUUUAGUUUGUAGAAUUGUUAUUACCUCCAUUUUGCCUUCUAUCUUCGCAAUAAAUGUAUUCUGAAGCUAUA